This 110-nucleotide ribosomal RNA is filed under the name Bacillus cereus VD146. The record is from RNAcentral. Lineage: Bacteria; Bacillati; Bacillota; Bacilli; Caryophanales; Bacillaceae.
AUGAUGGCAGAGAGGUCACACCCGUUCCCAUACCGAACACGGAAGUUAAGCUCUCUAGCGCCGAUGGUAGUUGGGACCUUGUCCCUGUGAGAGUAGGACGUUGCCAGGCU